Molecule: long non-coding RNA, 5162 nt
Filed under: Capsella rubella
Lineage: Eukaryota; Viridiplantae; Streptophyta; Magnoliopsida; Brassicales; Brassicaceae
Description: long non-coding RNA (CRUB_LNC004464)
Source: RNAcentral
GAAGCACCGGCAAUGGUAAACGCACAGAAGUUGUGCGAGAGGUCAAGUGGGACUUGGUCCGGAGUCUGCGGAAACAACAACGCUUGCAAGAAUCAGUGCAUUAACCUUGAGGGAGCAAAACAUGGAUCUUGCAAUUAUCGAUUCCCAUACCACAGAUGUAUCUGUUACUUCCCAUGUUAAUCAACCAAACAUCUUCGGUGGUUAAACGUGUGUGCAUUUUACAUAAAAUAAGUCUACGUCACUUUACGAGUGACUCUUAUGAGUAUGACAUGCAUCUUUCUGUUUUAAUGUUCGGUGGUGUGACUUUGUUGUUAUGAUAAUAUAAUAUUUUUCUUCUUGUUUAAUUUGUCUUCAACACGGUCAGUAAUGAAAUAUACAUGUAAUCCAACUCGACCCCUUGUAUUGAAAAAAAAAAAAAACUUGUGUGUAAAUGAAAAUGAUCCACGACAAACUAUGAAUUGUCCAAUUACAUGACCGAAUUAAAAUAUAUUGUAGCUAGGAAGUUCACGUUAAAUCCCAAUUAUAUUGGUCUACCAAAUUCACGUUGCAGAAAUGAAAUAUUACUUACGAGUAAAAAUUACGAUAAACAAAAAAUGAUUUUGAACUUAGAAGCUUUUGUUUCAAACAAAAGGUUUCGCUUUCAGGUCUUGAUCUAGAUCUUGUGUCCAAUUAAUAAUUUAAAUUUAUGUUUGGGAUCGGUUACAGUUACAAUCUUGGUUGAGUUUAAUUUUAUUUAAAACUUGACUUAUAUAUUUAUUAGCAGAAACACCAACAAUGGUGGAAGAACGUACACAAGUUGUGAAGUUACGUUGUGCGAGUUGGACAGUCAUAGAAACAAUAAUGCAACAAAAAUAAGUGCAUUAUAGCCUUGAAAACGUACAACAUGGAAGACUAGGCCCGGCGUAAAGGGGGUGCGGGAGCACCGGGACUCUUCAGUUUUGGUAAUUUUUUAAAGGUUUUAGGACCCUCAAUUUUUGAUAUUUUUACAUACAAGGGCCUCAAAUUUCUGAAAUUUGCAAAUAAAACCCUAACUAAAAGAAGAAAUUUUUUUGGCACAAGGUCCAAGAAAAACUUGAGCCGGGCCCUCCAUGGAACUUGCAAGUUGCAACUAUGUCCCCAGCUCACAAAUGAUCUGCUACUUCCCAUAUUAAGUUAUCUAUAUGGUCAUGUGUCUGUAUUUCCAAUUUUCCAUAAACUAAUAAGUCAUAUGUUCUGCUCAAAAAUCUACAUGUGUCUGUCACUCAAUGAAUGAGCGUAUUACAUGUAUCCAUUAUGUUUAUGUUGGCUUGUUUUAAUUGGAUUUUACUACAUACUACUGUUUCCUUAUCCAUAUUUGUUUUUCUGAUUAGUGCACUUUCCCUAACUGUGGACAGAGAUUCACCGAGGCCUGAGACAACCAUUUCCAGCAUCAUCAGGUCGAUUAAGAAGAACAAUUAAUUAACUUUGUUUUGAAAUGACCAGCUGCCAUAGUUGAAGUUGAUUAAGAUUUUUUAAGUUAUGCGGUUAAAUGAACUAAUAAUGUUAUACAAUUAAUCACUUCUUAGGAAGUUAGGGGGUGGGAAGGGGUAUUGGAAGACGGAUUUAAGAAGAUUUUGGGUUUUUCUUAACCAGCUCAGAAGAUUCCCCAUAUUAUAAACCGGUGACAAUGACAUACUAUUAUUGGAUUGAGGAUAUUUCUUGCGAUUCAAGCAAAUGACCAAUUAUUGUAUCAUUGAUCCCAUUUUCUCCUAGCUCUAUGCUCAUGUAACGAACGGUCUGCAAAAAUUUCCGACAAAUCAUAACUACUUGUGUAACUCGGCUUGGUUAAAAAAUGUAAAAUCUUAUUUUCUUGAGUGGUGACCAAAUCAGAUUAACCAGCGCUACCAAACUGAACAAUGAAUAUGUAGCAUUAACUCAAAUCCAAAGCAACCAGUUUAGAUAUUAUCAGAGAAAGAUAUGUGGUGGAGAAACCAGCCAUCAAUUAUGAAUAAGUCAAGAUCUUAUUACUACAACUAGCUAUACUAGAAGACACUGCGAGAUUAAUUUGUGGGGUUGCGAUCCGUAAUUAUACGAUGCAAAAAUAGAAGACUAACUCACCACUAUUUCAUUAUAAAUAGAGGCUGAUCUUAAGCUUAUUUUAUCACACAGCACAAUACAUAUAUACAUCGAAAACAAAGUAGUAAAAAUCAUCAUGGCUAAGUCUGCUUCCAUCAUCACCCUUAUCUUCGCUGCUCUUGUUCUCUUUGCUGCUUUUGGUUAGUAAUGAUCUUAUCAUAUAUGCAAAAUAGUGUUUUAAAUGUUAUUUUCAUUUAUUUUGAUAACUAACCAUGAUAAGUAUAUACAUGAAUCUGCAGAAGCACCAGCAAUGGUGGAAGCACAGAAGUUUUGCGAGAGGUCAAGUGGGACUUGGUCCGGAGUCUGUGGAAACAACGGCGCUUGCAGGAAUCAGUGCAUUAACCUUGAAAGAGCACACCAUGGAUCUUGCAACUAUCGAUUCCCAUACCACAGAUGUAUCUGUUAUUUCCCAUGUUAAUCAACCAAACAUCUUUGGUUGUUAAACGUGUGUGUAUUUUACAUAAAAUAAGUCUCGGUUACUCUAUGAGUGACUUUUAUGACAUGCAUGUUUAUGUUUUAAUGUUUGGUGUGACUUUGUUGUUAUAAUAAUAUAAAAUAUUUCUUCUUGGUUUAAUUUGUCUUCACACGCGCGGUCAUUGUUUUCAAAAGGACUAAUUACUUCUCCUAGAGGUACCCUAACAGCAUCACGAGUUUCAAGUUGAGAAUAAGAAACGUAGUGGUGUAUUCAGUAAUGAAAUAUAUAUAUGUAAUCCGACUCGAUUCCUAGUUUGUGAUAUAAGAAAAAACUUGUGGGUAAAUGAAAAUGAUCCACGAAACUAUGAAUUGUCCAAUUUCAUGCAUGAUCGAUUUAUAAUAUGUUAAAAACUUUUAUCUACAAGUUUUUGUAGGAAGUUCAUGUCAAAUGAUUAAUAGAGUUAUAAGUCAAUAGAUUUUGCCCGAUUUACUAUAUUCGCGUUGCAAGAAUGAAAUAGUAUUUAUGUGUUAAAUUUCGGUAAAAAAAAAUGAUUUUGAACUUAAAAGCUUGUGUUUCAAACAAAAGGUUUCGAUUUCAAGUCUUGAUCUAGAUUUCGGGUCAAAUUAAAGUUGUUUUGGUUUAAAUUUUAAUUUUAAUCGCGUAAUUGACUAUAAUUAUCUAUAAGCAGAAAACACCAACAAUGUUUGAAGCACACAAGUUGUGAAGUUGUGCGAGAGAAGCCAAGUUGAACAGUCAUAUAAACAACAAUGCAACAAAAAUAAGUGCAUUAAGAAAUAAAAUAAACAAUAAUGUAUUUUCAUAAAGCUAAUAAGUAUUGUCACUCAAUGAAGGAGUGUAUAUAUUACAUGUAUUUAUUAUGUUUAUGUUGGCUUGUUUUAAUUGUAUUUUUUUUUUUUUGGUAAUAGAUAGGAGACAAAGGUCUCCUACUCUUUAUUAAGUUCAACCCCAAAUGUAUCCUCCGACAAAACUGAAGUACACUCGUUCGGGCAUAAAUCUAAAACUUUAAAACCAAGCGGUAAUGAGAACGCAUAAAUCUAAAAAUUGUUUUAGUUGUAUUUUACUACUGUUUUAUCUUCUUAUCUAUAUUUGUUUGCAUGUAUUGUCCAUAAUAAGAACUACCCACAAUAUAGAGAGCAGUUAGCCUAUGUAUUUGUUUAUCCGAUGCUUUUGGCAAAUUAAAGGUAUUUAUUCGACAAAGUACAGACUACAAAUUAGGACACUUUCUCUAACUGUGGACAUAGAUUCACCAAGGGUUGAGACAACCAUUUCCAGCACCAUCAGGUCGAUUAAGAAGAACCAUUAAUUAACUUUGUUUUGAAAUGAGAUAUAGUUGAAAUUGAUUAGGAUUUUAAGUUAUGCGGUCUAAUGAACGAAUACACUUCUUAAGAAACUUAGGGGGUGUACUGGAAGACGGAUUUGAGAAGAUUUCGGUUUUUUCUUAACUCGCUCAUCAGACGAUUCUUCAUAAGAUAAACAGGCGACAAUGACAUCUUAUUAUUGAAGUGAGGAUAUUUUCUUGCUAUUCAAGCAAAUGACCAAUUAUAGUAUCAUUGGUCCCGUUUACUCCUAGUUCUAUGCUCAUGUAACGAACGGUCUGAAAAUUUCUGACAAAUCAUAACUACUUGUGUAACUCGGUUUGGUUAAAAUUUUAAAAUCUUAUUUUCUUGAGUGGUGACCAAAUCAGAUUGACCAGCGCUGCCAAAGUGAACAAUGAAUAUGUAGCAUUAACUCAAAUCCAGUGCAUUCAGUUUAGAUAUUAUCAAAGAAAAUAUGUGGUGGAGAAACCAGCCAUCAAAUAUGAAUAAGCCACGAUCUUAUUAAUAUCAACUAGCUAUACUAGCUAGAAGACACUGCGUGAUUAAUUUGUGGGGUUACGAUCCGUAAUAAUACGAUGCAAAAAUAGCAGACUAACUCACCACUAUUUCAUUAUAAAUAGAGGCUGGUCUUAAGCUUAUUUCAUCACACAAUACAUACAUACAUACAUACAUCUAAAACAAAGUAGUAAAAAUCAUCAUGGCUAAGUUUGCUUCCAUCAUCACCCUUAUCUUCGCUGCUCUUGUUCUCUUUGCUGCCUUUGGUUAGUAAUGAUCUUAUCAUAUAUGCAAAAUAGUGUUUUAAAUGUUAUUUUCAUUUAUUUUGAUAACUAACCAUGAUAAGUAUAUACAUGAAUCUGCAGAAGCACCAGCAAUGGUGGAAGCACAGAAGUUUUGCGAGAGGUCAAGUGGGACUUGGUCCGGAGUCUGUGGAAACAACGGCGCUUGCAGGAAUCAGUGCAUUAACCUUGAAAGAGCACACCAUGGAUCUUGCAACUAUCGAUUCCCAUACCACAGAUGUAUCUGUUACUUCCCAUGUUAAUCAACCAAACAUCUUUGGUGGUUAAUCACGUGUGUAUUUUACAUAAAAUAAGUCUGUGUUACUCUAUGAGUGACUUUUAUGACAUGCAUGUUUAUGUUUUAAUGUUUGGUUGGACUUUGUUGUUAUUAUGAUAUAUAGAUAUAUAAAUUUAAAGUACUAUUGUGUAAGUAAUAUAUACAUUUAAACUAUUGUGUAGUGAUCCCCCGACAAAAUUAUAUACGAAAAUUUUCCAAUUAAAUGAACAUAAAAUAUGUCAAAAUAAAAGUUUAAACAGGAA